GGGAAUAUUGCACAAUGGGCGAAAGCCUGAUGCAGCAACGCCGCGUGAGUGAUGAAGGUCUUCGGAUUGUAAAGCUCUGUCUUUUGGGACGAUAAUGACGGUACCAAAGGAGGAAGCCACGGCUAACUACGUGCCAGCAGCCGCGGUAAUACGUAGGUGGCGAGCGUUGUCCGGAUUUACUGGGCGUAAAGGGUGCGUAGGCGGAUGUUUAAGUGAGAUGUGAAAUACCCGGGCUUAACUUGGGUGCUGCAUUUCAAACUGGAUAUCUAGAGUGCAGGAGAGGAGAAUGGAGUUCCUAGUGUAGCGGUGAAAUGCGUAGAGAUUAGGAAGAACACCAGUGGCGAAGGCGAUUCUCUGGACUGUAACUGACGCUGAGGCACGAAAGCGUGGGUAGCAAACAGGAUUAGAUACCCUGGUAGUCCACGCCGUAAACGAUGAGUACUAGGUGUAGGAGGUAUCGACCCCUUCUGUGCCGCAGUAAACACAUUAAGUACUCCGCCUGGGAAGUACGAUCGCAAGAUU
Molecule: ribosomal RNA, 522 nt
Filed under: uncultured bacterium
Lineage: Bacteria
Description: partial 16S ribosomal RNA
Rfam family: Bacterial small subunit ribosomal RNA
Source: RNAcentral